CCUACGGUGGGCAGCAGUGAGGAAUAUUGGUCAAUGGGCGUAAGCCUGAACCAGCCAAGUCGCGUGAGGGAUGAAGGUUCUAUGGAUCGUAAACCUCUUUUAUAAGGGCAUAAUGUGCGGGUCGUGUCCCGUUUUGUAUGUACCUUCUGAAUUAGGAUCGGCUAACUCCGUGCCAGCAGCCACGGUAAUACGGAGGAUCCGAGCGUUAUCCGGAUUUAUUGGGUUUAAAGGGUGCGUAGGCGGCCUUUUAAGUCGGCGGGGAAAGUUUGUGGCGCAACCAUAGAAUUGCCGUUGAAACUGGGAGGCUUGAGUAUGUUUGAGGCAGGCGGAAGGCGUGGUGUAGCGGUGAAAUGCUUAGAUAUCACGAAGAACCCCGAUGGCGAAGGCAGCCUGCCAAGCCAUGACUGACGCUGAUGCACGAAAGCGUGGGGAUCAAACAGGAUUAGAUACCCGGGUAGUC
This 460-nucleotide ribosomal RNA is filed under the name uncultured bacterium. Its description in RNAcentral is "partial 16S ribosomal RNA". It matches the Rfam family "Bacterial small subunit ribosomal RNA", at positions 338 to 795 of the family's 1533-position model. The record is from RNAcentral.